This is a long non-coding RNA of Tripterygium wilfordii, 290 nucleotides long. RefSeq lists it as uncharacterized. The record is from RefSeq and is a predicted model, not a curated record. The transcript has 3 exons. NCBI's taxonomy places the organism in Eukaryota, Viridiplantae, Streptophyta, Magnoliopsida, Celastrales, Celastraceae.
ACUAUAAAGCCAACCAAGACUUAGAAGGAGCAAUACAGUCUCUAUGGAUUCCCGUUAACUCUACAGAUAUGGAGUUAUGAAGCUAUUCCCCUUAUCGGGAGGACAUACGCACAGAAAGAUCCAAAAAUUCAGUAUCCAAGGAUAUUGAACUGGAGUACAUCAAUCACUCCUGACUCAACAGAACUCAUCCUAAGUGUUUUUAGAAGGAAGCAGCUUCAAGUACAUGGUCGACUUAUCCCAACCCAGUUGGAGAUGGCACAAGAAUACUGCAUAAAGGCUUCCGAUGUACU